AUGCAUAUAUGCAUGUAUGGAAAGACAUAUAACCUGGGCCCUAUCGAACGACAGGAGUUGCUCACCGGAAUACAAAGGAUGGUGGUCACCGGUCUUGGGGAAGAACGGCGCCGGCGGCUCAGACUUGAAGCUGGUGUUGUCCAAGACGGUGUGGUAGGAGGCACGGCGUGCGUACAGAUACGUAUAACUCGGGAAAUUCUUCAGGGACGUCCGGGGCUUGCUCCUGCGAUGAUGACGACCGGCUGGAGUAGUGGCAGCGGAGAUUGGCUCGGUCGAGGUCGACGCGGUCGCUACACGGAUCCCCUGCGUGAACUACGCAUUCAGAUCGGUAGAGGAGAUCGAGGAGAAUUUAAAAGGAACAAGAAGAGGGGCCAAGGAACCUUCAGAGGCGAUGGAAUCGACCGGCGGGGUGCUCCUGCAGCGGCGAACUCCGGCGAGAUCAGAUCCGGGCGAAACGGGCACGGGAAGACAAAAUUUUGCCAAAAAUCGGCAGAGAAGAAGAUGGGGAAUUUUUAUUGA
RNAcentral lists this ribosomal RNA (519 nucleotides) under Triticum aestivum (bread wheat). Its description in RNAcentral is "partial small subunit ribosomal RNA". Lineage: Eukaryota; Viridiplantae; Streptophyta; Magnoliopsida; Poales; Poaceae. The record is from RNAcentral.